UCAAUGAUCCGUUUGACAAAAGCAGAAGGCAGAGGAUGCACGGAGCGAUUCCAGAGCUGGGGAUGUGACAAGAGGCUGCUGCCAGGAGCCAUCUGGCCAGAGGGGAGAGGGGGAGCGCCAGCCUCGGAAUGGGCACCUUGGGAACCAGCGCCUUCACACACCUGGCUCCACACCCUGCGAGUUCCCUGGGACAGAACGGGACAUUCCUUGGGACAUUCCAUGUGGCAGAGCCACUGCUGGCCUCCAGAAGCAUGAAAAAAUCCUUUGGAACAGCAGGUGUAGGUGUUGGGGUGUGACCUGCUUUUCCAGGAGCUGACUGACUGGAGAUAGACCUGACAUCCAGGAAGGAGAAGCUCAUGUAUGAGAAGCUCCCUCAUUCCAGGAGAACCCUCCCAUCUCCAGCUCCUCUCCACCCUGAGGAAUCACCCCUUACCCUGGUGCAUUCCGAGCAGUGAAGCUCCCGAUGGUUCAGCCCCUGGGAGAGGAAGAUCAGCUCUGCAGCCCUUCACCAAGCCCAGUCUGGGGAAUUUCUGGGCUCUGCUGCUUCAUCCCAGGCCUUCUCCAGCCUCUCCAAGUCCACCCUCAUCCCUGCCAGCAGGCACAGCCUCUCCUGCUCAGCAGAGAGCUGGAAAUGCACAAUGGAAGUUGAGCAUCCUCAGGAACACAUCCAGACCCAUGGAAACACAUCCCUGAUGCUGCACAGGACCCCUGAGCAGGAUGUGCUCCCAGAGCAGCCAGAGAGUGGUAGAAGAGGUGGGAACAAGGCUGGGAAGAGUGGGCUCAGCCCAGUGGAUCACAUUGCUGGGGUCCAUCACAUACCCUGGAUCCAUGGCAUGCAGCAGGGGAAGCAUCAUCUUCAUGCCAGGACCUCAUUUGUUUCCAUUAAAAUAUCAUUUUUCCAAAAGGAGAAGUUUAAUCGUCAGGGAAAUCGUGGCAUAAAUUGUUGCAAAUUUGGAACACCAGGAGUGCUCUGAGGCCAUAGGGCAGCAAAGAGCAGGAGCUGUGAACAAACUCCAGCAGCGGGCAGUGAUGGGGCACUUCCCAUUCCCACUGAGCCAAGGAGGAUGGACCCUGUAUCCAAAGCCUGCAGAUUUGAUCCACUCCAGCAAAACCAGGCUGCUUUGCCUCCGAAUCCCUGCUCUGCCCUGCUGGUGGCACAGCUGUUGAUGUGUCAAGGGACAGCUCUGCAGCCUUGGAGCCCAGCUCUGCUGCUGACCCUCUUUUCCCCACACAGCCACUGAACAACCCAGGAGAAUCCUGCCCCCAGGAGUUUCCUACUCACAGGAAGGUGGGUCCCACAAGUGGGUUUGGUGGCAGGGAAGUCUCCUGAUGCCUCCUGCUCCUUCCUCCUGUGCUGCUCAGCUGAUGGGACAGAAUGGGUUUGUGUCAUUUCCUCAAGGAGGAAAUGUGCUGUUCCAAAGAGGGCUUGGAGCUCCUUCAGCAGUGAGUCAUGACUUUGUGUAUAAGCUAAACACUGGAGCAGAAUCAUAAAUAAAUAAAACUGCCUUCAUAAACUGGAAAUUAAACACAUCCCGUCCUUGUUUGCAAUGCACUAUGAUUCAUGCUGCUGCUUCCUACUUCAAGCGUUAUUUUAAACCAGGCUUUGCAGGCGCUUUGUGCCUUUUAUCCAUCCCUUGAUUUGCCCUGUGCUGCUGCUCGAGGAACGUUGUUUGAUAUGAUAAUAAAUUCCACCCUCGUGUUCCCUCUCCUCGUGCUGCAUCCUUGCAGGGCUGGUGGCAGUGUGAAGGCUGGAGGCUGUGGGACAUUCCGAGUUCACCAGGUCACCUUCAUCUCCACACUGAGGAAACGCUGCCCAGAGCAGGAGCCAGAGCUGGAAUCUGCGCUCACACAGGGCUGAUGUCACGCCUUGCUGGA
Long non-coding RNA from Poecile atricapillus (Black-capped chickadee), 1875 nucleotides. RefSeq lists it as uncharacterized. The transcript has 3 exons. Lineage: Eukaryota; Metazoa; Chordata; Aves; Passeriformes; Paridae. The record is from RefSeq and is a predicted model, not a curated record.